This 495-nucleotide ribosomal RNA is filed under the name uncultured bacterium. RNAcentral describes it as "partial 16S ribosomal RNA". It matches the Rfam family "Bacterial small subunit ribosomal RNA", at positions 28 to 507 of the family's 1533-position model. The record is from RNAcentral.
GACGAACGCUGGCGGCGUGCCUAAUACAUGCCAGUAGAACGCUGAAGGAGGAGCUUGCUCUUCUGGAUGAGUUGCGAACGGGUGAGUAACGCGUAGGUAACCUGCCUGGUAGCGGGGGAUAACUAUUGGAAACGAUAGCUAAUACCGCAUAACAGUAGAUGUUGCAUGACAUUUACUUAAAAGGUGCAAUUGCAUCACUACCAGAUGGACCUGCGUUGUAUUAGCUAGUUGGUGGGGUAACGGCUCACCAAGGCGACGAUACAUAGCCGACCUGAGAGGGUGAUCGGCCACACUGGGACUGAGACACGGCCCAGACUCCUACGGGAGGCAGCAGUAGGGAAUCUUCGGCAAUGGACGGAAGUCUGACCGAGCAACGCCGCGUGAGUGAAGAAGGUUUUCGGAUCGUAAAGCUCUGUUGUAAGGGAAGAACGAGUGUGAGAGUGGAAAGUUCACACUGUGACGGUAUCUUACCAGAAAGGGACGGCUAACUACGUG